RNAcentral lists this long non-coding RNA (317 nucleotides) under Prunus persica (peach). RNAcentral describes it as "long non-coding RNA (PPER_LNC004912)". Lineage: Eukaryota; Viridiplantae; Streptophyta; Magnoliopsida; Rosales; Rosaceae. The record is from RNAcentral.
UCAAGGCCUAUAGCACAUCCGACCAAAGAUGCACGGAUCUCUACCACAUGCUGGAAAAUUCAACACCACUUGUGGCCAAUCUAAGUCCUUGUAGACUGCCCCGCCAAGGGCCUACAGCACACCCGACCAAAGGUGCUCGGACCUUUACCACACUCCGAAAAAUCCAACGCCACGUGCGGUAAAGUGAUAGUAACUAAAUGAGCCCACACGCCGGAAAAAUCCAACAAUACGUGUAGCUAAACCAAAGCAUGUCCUACGCGCGCGGACUGCCUUGCCAAGGGCCUACGGCAUACCCGAGCAAAGGUCCCCGGACCUUU